AGCAGCAGCCGCGGUAAUACGUAGGUCCCGAGCGUUGUCCGGAUUUAUUGGGCGUAAAGCGAGCGCAGGCGGUUAGAUAAGUCUGAAGUUAAAGGCUGUGGCUUAACCAUAGUACGCUUUGGAAACUGUUUAACUUGAGUGCAAGAGGGGAGAGUGGAAUUCCAUGUGUAGCGGUGAAAUGCGUAGAUAUAUGGAGGAACACCGGUGGCGAAAGCGGCUCUCUGGCUUGUAACUGACGCUGAGGCUCGAAAGCGUGGGGAGCAAACAGGAUUAGAUACCCCUGUAGUCCCUGUCUCUUAUACA
This 303-nucleotide ribosomal RNA is filed under the name uncultured bacterium. RNAcentral's name for it is "partial 16S ribosomal RNA". It matches the Rfam family "Bacterial small subunit ribosomal RNA", at positions 507 to 808 of the family's 1533-position model. The record is from RNAcentral.